GAUGAACGCUGGCGGCGUGCUUAACACAUGCAAGUCGAACGAAGCACUUUAUUUGAUUUCCUUCGGGACCGAUUAUUUUGUGACUGAGUGGCGGACGGGUGAGUAACGCGUGGGUAACCUGCCUUGUACAGGGGGAUAACAGUUGGAAACGGCUGCUAAUACCGCAUAAGCGCACAGCAUCGCAUGAUGCAGUGUGAAAAACUCCGGUGGUAUAAGAUGGACCCGCGUUGGAUUAGCUAGUUGGUGAGGUAACGGCCCACCAAGGCGACGAUCCAUAGCCGACCUGAGAGUGUGACCGGCCACAUUGGGACUGAGGCACGGCCCAAACUCCUACGGGAGGCAGCAGUGGGGAAUAUUGCACAAUGGGCGAAAGCCUGAUGCAGCGACGCCGCGUGAGCGAAGAAGUAUUUCGGUAUGUAAAGCUCUAUCAGCAGGGAAGAUAAUGACGGUACCUGACGAAGAAGCACCGGCUAAAUACGUG
This 481-nucleotide ribosomal RNA is filed under the name uncultured bacterium. Its description in RNAcentral is "partial 16S ribosomal RNA". It matches the Rfam family "Bacterial small subunit ribosomal RNA", at positions 28 to 507 of the family's 1533-position model. The record is from RNAcentral.